GAAUCAUCGCUUGCCCGCUCCCACCUGGUUCCACGUCGGAGGCUGGCUCUUGGUUACCUAGGAGAUGCUUCGCAAUGCAAAUCCAGGGCCGCGGUGCAGACCGCCAGGCUCCUGUGCUGUGUGGGAGGAGUCAAUCUGGUUGUGUGUUGACAUCAGCGAAGUCAGCUCUGAGGAUUUGGCUGUGGUGGACCAGGCCGAGGACUUAGCUUUCAUGGUAGUGGAGAAGAGCUCAGAGCCAGUUGAUAAUACUGUAAACAAGCAAGCACCACUGAUGUUGGGGACCAUUGGCUGUAUGGUGUCCUGAACAUGUCAGGCUAGUACAAAGAUGAGCUGGUCGUGUAGUCACAGUAGGAAGGACCUCUGACCUGUUUGACACUCGGGGAUUGGAGGUAUGUGGGCAUUUAGUGAUUCCAGGAUCAUCCUUGGCUCCUAGCAGGGAUACAGGGCACAUCUACUUAAACAGCAGAUCAGGUCUCCUGUUAUGGCCGCAGAUAUUGCCAGAGCAGCUCGGUGCAGACUCACGACUAUUGUACAUUAUAAACUGUGGGGUUUUUUUUAUUGUACACACAGAGUGAG
This 576-nucleotide long non-coding RNA is filed under the name Rattus norvegicus (Norway rat). Its description in RNAcentral is "long non-coding RNA NONRATT032335". The record is from RNAcentral. Lineage: Eukaryota; Metazoa; Chordata; Mammalia; Rodentia; Muridae.